UGACACUUUACCCUCAUAUGGAAUGACAUGAACUAAUUAAACCCCCUCAAGGACUUAUUGUGAUGUGCUAUAAAAGUUGCACCUCAUCACAUUAUGUACCCCAAGUCGAACAAUAAUGAUAUGAUUACAAUAAAUUUAAUUAGGGUUCAUUUCACUUCACAGAAUAAAAGGGUGGCGCCUUUACACUCAAAAAGUUAAUUUGAAAUAUAAAAUUACAGAAUUUACCUUUUCAAGAUGUAAAGGUGGCGUGGGAAACAACAAGUUAGAGUCAUUUACUUGAUUCAUUCUCUGGUCAAACCCCUAGACCUAGAUGACUAUACAUUCUUCCCCAGUUUUUUCUUUUUUCCAACUCAUCACUUCCCUGUGAUUCUAGACAGCCCAAUGUCAUGCCCAAUUAAGAUGAAAACUGUAGAUCACUGUCGACACUCGACAUGCCUCCGCUAUUUAUGACAGUUUCUUCCUACACCUUCCUUUUUGCUUCCUGUACCUCCAAAAAGACCUGAACAGACACAAAUACCCCUGCCUCUCCCAAGCA
This 535-nucleotide long non-coding RNA is filed under the name Glycine max (soybean). Its description in RNAcentral is "long non-coding RNA (GMAX_LNC000775)". Lineage: Eukaryota; Viridiplantae; Streptophyta; Magnoliopsida; Fabales; Fabaceae. The record is from RNAcentral.